UACGUGGGGGGCGAGCGUUGUUCGGAAUUAUUGGGCGUAAAGGGUGCGUAGGCGGCCUGACAAGUCUGAUGUGAAAUCCCUGGGCUCAACCCAGGGCCUGCAUCGGAAACUGUCGGGCUUGAGUAUGGGAGAGGUGAGUGGAAUUUCCGGUGUAGCGGUGAAAUGCGUAGAUAUCGGAAGGAACACCUGUGGCGAAAGCGGCUCACUGGACCAUUACUGACGCUGAGGCACGAAAGCUAGGGGAGCAAACAGG
Molecule: ribosomal RNA, 253 nt
Filed under: uncultured bacterium
Lineage: Bacteria
Description: partial 16S ribosomal RNA
Rfam family: Bacterial small subunit ribosomal RNA
Source: RNAcentral